Molecule: ribosomal RNA, 425 nt
Filed under: uncultured bacterium
Lineage: Bacteria
Description: bacterial SSU rRNA
Rfam family: Bacterial small subunit ribosomal RNA
Source: RNAcentral
GUGAGGAAUAUUGGUCAAUGGUCGGGAGACUGAACCAGCCAAGCCGCGUGAGGGAUGAAGGCGCUAAGCGUCGUAAACCUCUUUUGCCGGGGAACAAGAGCGGGGACGUGUCCCCGUGUGAGUGUACCCGGAGAAAAAGCAUCGGCUAACUCCGUGCCAGCAGCCGCGGUAAUACGGAGGAUGCGAGCGUUAUCCGGAUUUAUUGGGUUUAAAGGGUGCGCAGGCGGGUCGUUAAGUCAGCGGUAAAAGCCCGGGGCUCAACCCCGGCGAGCCGUUGAAACUGGCGGUCUUGAGUUGGCGAGAAGUAUGCGGAAUGCGCGGUGUAGCGGUGAAAUGCUUAGAUAUCGCGCAGAACUCCGAUUGCGAAGGCAGCAUACCGGCGCCAUACUGACGCUCAGGCACGAAAGUGCGGGGAUCGAACAGGA